Molecule: ribosomal RNA, 465 nt
Filed under: Vreelandella stevensii
Lineage: Bacteria; Pseudomonadati; Pseudomonadota; Gammaproteobacteria; Oceanospirillales; Halomonadaceae
Description: partial 16S ribosomal RNA
Rfam family: Bacterial small subunit ribosomal RNA
Source: RNAcentral
CCUACGGGGGGCAGCAGUGGGGAAUAUUGGACAAUGGGGGGAACCCUGAUCCAGCCAUGCCGCGUGUGUGAAGAAGGCCCUCGGGUUGUAAAGCACUUUCAGUGAGGAAGAACGCCUGGUGGUUAAUACCCAUCAGGAAAGACAUCACUCACAGACGAAGCACCGGCUAACUCCGUGCCAGCAGCCGCGGUAAUACGGAGGGUGCGAGCGUUAAUCGGAAUUACUGGGCGUAAAGCGCGCGUAGGUGGCUUGAUAAGCCGGUUGUGAAAGCCCCGGGCUCAACCUGGGAACGGCAUCCGGACCUGUCAAGCUAGAGUGCAGGAGAGGAAGGUAGAAUUCCCGGUGUAGCGGUGAAAUGCGUAGAGAUCGGGAGGAAUACCAGUGGCGAAGGCGGCCUUCUGGACUGACACUGACACUGAGGUGCGAAAGCGUGGGUAGCAAACAGGAUUAGAUACCCCGGUAGUC